GUAGCAGAGCGAAACGCGGCUCAAGUGGUAGCAGAGCGAUCGAUUUUCACUUAGGACCUUUGGAACGCUAAUUGUUAGACCCCUAGGCUGUGCCUGGGCCGAUGGAUUGUAAAUAAACUGUCAUAGGCUCUGUGUAUGUUUACGUAUAUUGUAUUUAUAUUUUUCUUUUUGUGUUCCAUGCUUAGUCAAAAUGCCACGCGCGUGGAUCCAUGAAUUGUCCAAGCAGCAGCUGGAGAGUUUAGCAAGCCAUCUAGGUGUAUCCACGGAAGGAACGCUGGACGACUUGAGGAAGCGGGCUGUCUUGUGUUUCUCUCCCUCCCAAACCUAUAUCCUAGCUUGGAUGGAUGGAGACGCGACGCAGGACUUCAGGCCCCCCUUCUCG
This is a long non-coding RNA of Cryptotermes secundus, 382 nucleotides long. RefSeq lists it as uncharacterized. Lineage: Eukaryota; Metazoa; Arthropoda; Insecta; Blattodea; Kalotermitidae. The transcript has 2 exons. The record is from RefSeq and is a predicted model, not a curated record.